This 404-nucleotide ribosomal RNA is filed under the name uncultured bacterium. RNAcentral's name for it is "bacterial SSU rRNA". It matches the Rfam family "Bacterial small subunit ribosomal RNA", at positions 28 to 429 of the family's 1533-position model. The record is from RNAcentral.
GACGAACGCUGGCGGCGUGCUUAACACAUGCAAGUCGAGCGGUAAGGCCCUUUCGGGGGUACGACGAGCGGCGAACGGGUGAGUAACACGUGGGUGACCUGCCCUCCAGCUCUGGGAUAAGCCUGGGAAACGUGGGUCGUAAUACCGGAUAUGACUCCAUGACGCAUGUUGGUGGGGUGGAAAGCCUUGUGCGGCUGAGGAUGGGCCCGCGGCCUAUCAGCUUGUUGGUGGGGUGAGGCCUACCAAGGCGACGACGGGUAGCCGGCCUGAGAGGGCGACCGGCCACACUGGGACUGAGACACGGCCCAGACUCCUACGGGAGGCAGCAGUGGGGAAGUCUUGCGCAAUGGGCGAAAAGCCUGACGCAGCGACGCCGCGUGAGGGAUGACGGCCUCGGUUGUAGU